This 200-nucleotide unclassified non-coding RNA is filed under the name soil metagenome. RNAcentral's name for it is "partial contains internal transcribed spacer 2 and large subunit ribosomal RNA". The record is from RNAcentral.
CGUCAUUUCAACCCUCAAGCCCCAGCGGCUUGGUGUUGGGGACCGGCCCCGGCCGCCCCCCAAAUGCAGUGGCGACCUCGCCGCAGCCUCCCCUGCGUAGUAGCACAACUCGCACCGGAGCGCGGAGACGGUCACGCCGUAAAAACGCCCAACUUCUCAGAGUUGACCUCGGAUCAGGUAGGAAUACCCGCUGAACUUAA